This 236-nucleotide ribosomal RNA is filed under the name uncultured bacterium. RNAcentral describes it as "partial 16S ribosomal RNA". It matches the Rfam family "Bacterial small subunit ribosomal RNA", at positions 1267 to 1500 of the family's 1533-position model. The record is from RNAcentral.
GCGAAUCUCGAAAGCCUGUCUCAGUUCGGAUUGGAGGCUGAAACCCGCCUCCAUGAAGUUGGAUUCGCUAGUAAUCGCGCAUCAGCCAUGGCGCGGUGAAUACGUUCCCGGGCCUUGUACACACCGCCCGUCGCACCAUGGGAGUCGGAAAUGCCCGAAGUCUGUGACCCAACCUGAGAGGGAGGGAGCAGCCGAAGGCAGGUCGGAUGACUGGGGUGAAGUCGUAACAAGGUAUC